RNAcentral lists this unclassified non-coding RNA (253 nucleotides) under uncultured Rhodobacterales bacterium. RNAcentral describes it as "contains 16S-23S intergenic spacer region". It matches the Rfam family "Bacterial small subunit ribosomal RNA", at positions 524 to 776 of the family's 1533-position model. Lineage: Bacteria; Pseudomonadati; Pseudomonadota; Alphaproteobacteria; Rhodobacterales. The record is from RNAcentral.
UACGGAGGGGGUUAGCGUUGUUCGGAAUUACUGGGCGUAAAGCGCACGUAGGCGGAUUCGAAAGUUGGGGGUGAAAUCCCUGGGCUCAACCCCGGAACGGCCUCCACAGCUAUCAGUCUAGAGGUCGAGAGAGGUGAGUGGAAUUCCGAGUGUAGAGGUGAAAUUCGUAGAUAUUCGGAGGAACACCAAUGGCGAAGGCGGCUCACUGGCUCGAGACUGACGCUGAGGUGCGAAAGCGUGGGGAGCACACAGG